AAGUAUAUGCAUAUUUUAUAUGUAGAAACUGCGAACGGCUCAUUAAAACAGUUAUAAUCUACUUGACAUUUUUUCUAUAAGGAUAACUACGGAAAAGCUGUAGCUAAUACUUGCUUUAGCACUCUUGAUUAAGUUGUUGAGUGUGUACUUGUUAAGCCUUUUAAGAAAAAAGUUAUUAACUUAAGGAAUUAUAACAAAGAAGCAACACGUAAAUGGAUUUUCCAUUUUUUAGUGUGUAUCAAUCGAGUUUCUGACCUAUCAGCUUUUGAUGUUAGGGUAUUGGCCUAACAUGGCUAUGACGGGUAACGGGGAAUUAGAGUUCGAUUCCGGAGAGGGAGCCUGAGAAAUAGCUACCACAUCUAAGGAAGGCAGCAGGCGCGUAAAUUACCCAAUUCUAAAGAAGAGAGGUAGUGACAAGAAAUAACAAUACAAGGCCAAUCUGGCUUUGUAAUUGGAAUGAUGGGAAUUUAAAACCUUCCCAAAACUCAAUUGGAGGGCAAGUCUGGUGCCAGCAGCCGCGGUAAUUCCAGCUCCAAUAGCGUAUAUUAAAAUUGUUGCAGUUAAAACGCUCGUAGUUGAAUUUCAAAGAAUCGAUAUUUUAAGUAGCACUUUGUAGAUUAAUCCACAUAACUGAUACCUCCGCGUAUCGACUUUGUGCGCAUUUUAGCUAUUAUGUGUUCUUUUAAUUAAAAUGAUUCUUUUUAAGAUUCAUCUAUUAAAAAUUUGCUUCGGCAUAAUUUUUUUUGAUGAUCUUGUUACUUUGAGUAAAUUAGAGUGUUCAAAGCAAACAGAUAUAGCAUUUGUGCGUUUGAAUACUACAGCAUGGAAUAACAAAAUUGAACAAGUCAGAAUUUUUUUGUUCUUUUUUCUUAUUUUGGCUUAGUUACGAUUAAUAGGAGUAGCUUGGGGGCAUUUGUAUUCAGAUGUCAGAGGUGAAAUUCUUAGAUUUUCUGGAGACAAACAACUGCGAAAGCAUUUGCCUAAAAUACUUCCAUUAAUCAAGAACGAAAGUUAAGGGAGUGAAGACGAUCAGAUACCGUCGUAAUCUUAACCAUAAACUAUGCCGACUAGGCUUUGGAUGAAAGAUUUUAAAAUAAGAGUUUUUCUUUUCUCUCCGGAGAUUAGAACUCUUAGAUUGCUUCCUUCAGUGCCUUAUGAGAAAUCAAAGUCUUUGGGUUCUGGGGCGAGUAUUCGCGCAAGCGAGAAAGUUAAAAGAAUUGACGGAAGGGCACCACCAGGCGUGGAGCUUGCGGCUUAAUUUGACUCAACACGGGAAAACUCACUAGUUUAAGACAAGAGUAGGAUUGACAGAUUGAGAGCUCUUUCUUGAUUUCUUGGAUGGUGAUGCAUGGCCGUUUUUAGUUCGUGAAUAUGAUUUGUCUGGUUAAUUCCGAUAACGAACGAGAUCUUAACCUGCUAAUUAGCGGCAAAUACGAUAUAUUCUUACGUGGAAUUGCAUACUUAUGGUUUGUCUCUAUUGAGCUGCAUAAUAAUGAAGGAUCGUGAUUGCUUUUCGUGUCAAUCUUUCUUAAUCGAAUCGUUGAUGUGUUUUGUAUAUCUCGUUCUUUCAUUACCUUGCAAUCACUCAUUUGCCUUAUCAUACUGUUUCUCUUUUGCGUAAGAAUGUAUUUGCUUGAUUGUAAAGCUUCUUAGAGGAACGAUGUGUGUCUAACACAAG
This 1678-nucleotide ribosomal RNA is filed under the name Plasmodium sp. LT20. RNAcentral's name for it is "SSU rRNA". It matches the Rfam family "Eukaryotic small subunit ribosomal RNA", at positions 61 to 1439 of the family's 1831-position model. Lineage: Eukaryota; Apicomplexa; Aconoidasida; Haemosporida; Plasmodiidae. The record is from RNAcentral.